This 389-nucleotide ribosomal RNA is filed under the name uncultured bacterium. RNAcentral describes it as "bacterial SSU rRNA". It matches the Rfam family "Bacterial small subunit ribosomal RNA", at positions 30 to 416 of the family's 1533-position model. The record is from RNAcentral.
AUUGAACGCUGGCGGCAUGCCUUACACAUGCAAGUCGAACGGCAGCACGGGUGCUUGCACCUGGUGGCGAGUGGCGAACGGGUGAGUAAUGUAUCGGAACGUACCAUUCAGUGGGGGAUAACGUAGCGAAAGUUACGCUAAUACCGCAUAUUCUCUGAGGAGGAAAGUAGGGGAUCGCAAGACCUUACGCUGAUUGAGCGGCCGAUAUCGGAUUAGCUAGUUGGUGAGGUAAAGGCUCACCAAGGCGACGAUCCGUAGCUGGUCUGAGAGGAUGAUCAGCCACACUGGAACUGAGACACGGUCCAGACUCCUACGGGAGGCAGCAGUGGGGAAUUUUGGACAAUGGGGGGCAACCCUGAUCCAGCAAUGCCGCGUGAGUGAAGAAGGCC